GACGAACGCUGGCGGCGUGCUUAACACAUGCAAGUCGAACGGAAAGGCCCUGCUUUUGUGGGGUGCUCGAGUGGCGAACGGGUGAGUAACACGUGAGUAACCUGCCCUUGACUCUGGGAUAACUUCAGGAAACUGGGGCUAAUACCGGAUAGGAGCUCCUGCUGCAUGGUGGGGGUUGGAAAGUUUCGGCGGUUGGGGAUGGACUCGCGGCUUAUCAGCUUGUUGGUGGGGUAGUGGCUUACCAAGGCUUUGACGGGUAGCCGGCCUGCGAGGGUGACCGGCCACAUUGGGACUGAGAUACGGCCCAGACGCCUACGGGAGGCAGCAGUGGGGAAUAUUGCACAAUGGGCGGAAGCCUGUUGCAGCAACGCCGCGUGCGGGAUGACGGCCUUCGGGUUGUAAACCGCUUUCGCCUGUGACGAAGCGUGAGUGACGGUAAUGGGUAAAGAAGCACCGGCUAACUACGUG
This 468-nucleotide ribosomal RNA is filed under the name uncultured bacterium. RNAcentral's name for it is "partial 16S ribosomal RNA". It matches the Rfam family "Bacterial small subunit ribosomal RNA", at positions 28 to 507 of the family's 1533-position model. The record is from RNAcentral.